CAAGAGAAUUCUCGCUGGAUACGUGCCCGGGCCCAGGGCCUCGCAAUGGCUAGAGGCAGCCUUGGAGUCAGCAAGAGCCGCCUGCUGGCAGCGAAAACCUGGACGUGUCCAGUGGAGGCAGCAGGAGGGCUUGCAGGGCCCCGGGGCUGGGCUGUCGCGCCACGGAGUCCAGCCACUUUGCAAACUUGACAGUCCACCAGAAGUGCGAUUGUCAUUCCAUGGCUCCAGAGGAGAGCCAGCCGGGGGGCAGACCGACUCCUGUACUCCCUGGAAUCCUGGCCGAAGGAAGCUGCCCCAGGGCAGUACUGGGCCAGCGGAGGUCGGUCUUCCAGGGGAGGGCAGAGGCUCCGAGCCCUUGGCAGUCCUCACCCAGGCCCACGCUAGGGAGAGCCAAACCCCUUGAACUCUGGGUCUUGAGGCAUCCCCUGGCCAGAGGGCCCUCUGCCCCUCUUCAGCCUUCCCCGCCUCUGGCUGCAUUUCUCCUUUGGCACUCUGGGCCAAAUCUCCAUGAAGGGAGCUGCGGAGGGAGCCCGCUCUCCAGUCAGUUACCUUCCUGGAGGCUCAGACAUGGCGGCCGCCUUGGUUUGAGCACGGCCAACACCACCGUUCUGGAGGCUCAGCAGUGACUCUCUGGAGCCCAGCGGCCAGCUCUUUGCUGCAUGGCUGCUCCUACUCACACCCAGCUGACUCGGCCUCAGUUGAAAGUUUCUGCCUCCCAAAAGCAAAGCAAAAAAAAAAAUGGCAUUUAGAGAUCCCCGAGGGUCUGACCUAUUCCAGAAAAGCUCAACUGGGGGAAGCGGGAGAGCCAGGACAAAGCAUAGACGUGGUUCUUUAUAGAUGUGCCUGUGGAAUUGGCUUUUCUUUGUAUAUGUUCAUUAUAACAGUGGCUGGCAUUUCAUGAAGCACUUUGUACAUGCUAUCUUGGAUUUGUUAAACGAUCCUUGGAGGCAAGUACAUGUAUUAUUCCUGUUUUACAGGUGUGGAAACUGAGUCUGACAGAACCUGGGUAACUUGCCUAAGAUCACACAGCUGGUACGUGUCUGAGACUGGUUUUGAAUUCUAGUUUUGCUAGCACAGGGCCCAUUGAUCUUACCCAGAGCACCAGACCACAAUAAGCAAUUGUUCUCUUAUAAGAAAGAAAGAAUGCUGAGCCAAGAAGGUUCCAUAUUCCCUUCCCUGGGUCCCUUCACCUGCCCUCAGCCUCCAGUUUUCUCAGGUAAGAUGAGGAGGUUGGCCUUGAUGGUCUCCUUCCUAGCUUUGGGUCUACAUUACUACAUGCUUCUACGUGGGGUGGGGAUGGCUCACCCAUCUUUGGGGUCUACCUUUCAACCAACUCUUAUGUAUGGCUCCAAGAAACCAUAGCCUGCACAGGGCCAUGCCCCAGGAAAAUUGCCUUCUCAAGUGGAGAGUCACCCACAAGCCCCCAAUCUGUCAGUGAGUCAGAGGGGUGUCUGCCCCCAGCAGAAGGGCUGGGCGAGAACCAUUUGUUCCAGCAGCCAUGAAGGUGACUGAAGUAGGUGCUAUGGUGGGCUUGAAGCUUGGCCAGACAUGGAAGAAGCCAAGUUCGUCCAGUGCAUCCUGAGCCAUCCCCAUUGGGCCUGACUCUUGUCUUGUCCCUGGACCUGGAUGCCUCUGCAAGAGAGAGGGAGCCUGCCAAGUAAUCAAUAGUGCGUGCCAGUGGGCCUCACUGAAAUCCAACUCAUGCCCAAGGCAAGACCACAUCGGCGAUGGCCUGGAUCCUCUGAAAGCGAAAGACAAUCAGCAAAAACAAUGAGCUCUCACACGGAUGGCUUUGCUUUUAGUUUUUCUGUGGUGGGGGCAGGGGAGUUAGUCCAAGUCCUUCCAGUAAUAGCUCUGCCAGUGUUGUUCAUCCUGUAAGUCUGAGGAAUGGUUAAACAGGGAGGGAAAGGGCCAGAGAAAGCCAGCAACCUCAAGAAAACCUGGACCAGAGGAUAACCAAGAGGGAAAGGCAAACCAGAGCAUCCAGAAUGUUAGAGGCUUUGCACGAAUGGAAUCACUAGGUCUAGAAUACGAAGAGAAGCUGUCCAGUGAGAAGAGAGUCUUCCAUCAGGCUCCCUUGAUAAAAGCCUGAUGACCAAGAUAGAAAGAGAAAUGGCACAGCCCAUUAGGCUAAGUCUUUCCCCAAUCAAUGAGUGGUCAAACAAAAUGAAUGAAAAAAAAAAACAAUGACUAUACUAAAUUCAUCAUAAUAGAAAUGUAAAUUCAAAUAGCUUUCACUCUCCACCUUCCCUACUACAGACUAUCCCAGUUGAAAACAGAAACAGUCAACCCUGGAGGGAUUGUGGGAAGGCAUAAUCCCACAGUUCCUGGGAGUGUGCCACCAUUGAACCCAUGGUGGAUUCUCCUAAAAUUCCGCCCUAUUUCUUCCAUUUUCCCAAGAUAGAGUACAUCUGUGGUGUUUCCAUGAUCUAUUUGUGGAGCAGGGUUAGAGUCAUGGGUCAACCAAAGGUAACAUGUUAGGUAGGGUUGUUAGGCUGCCACAAAUUCUCAGAGAAGAAUCUUUCAGGAAAAGUGGAUGACAUUAGAGAGGGGUGUGGCCAGCUCUUCAGAUUCACUGAGAUCAAUGCCUCCUGGGUAGGGGUUGGGGUGGCUGGAGGGGAACACUCCCAUCCAUUAAAGGAGUCUCAGGUGCCCUGAAGGAUCAAAAGUCCAAUUGUCAGCUUAGUUGGGCUAUCACAAGGGAGAAGGAGCUUACUUCUGGUUCUUGGUGAACUCAUGGUAGCUCCCCAUGGCCUCCAUUAGUGCAAACCGGAAGAAAGGCAAUUGUUCUGGGCCAGCCCUAGAGAGGGAAGUGAAGGGUGAUAACAGGGUUUUCAUGUAGAACCCUGACAGCUUUCUUUGACCCUCAGAAGCUUCCCUUUCUUCUGGGAACUGGAAGUGGUGAUGUUAGCACUGUCGCGUCACGUCACUGUCCAGCACUGUUGCACACCAUCAUGCCUCCAGGACCCCAUCAUUCUGUCUUGGACCUACAAGUGUUCCUCCAUUUGAGCAGGGUCUCCUCCCAAAUCAACCCUACCCGCAAUGCUGUGGCUAACCCAGGCCAGACACUUUUGCUGUGGCCUCGAUUCCCCAAAGAAAAGGGACAGGAAGCUUUGAAAUCUAUUCUGGCGGAAUCUUCUGCUUCUUAUCGAUUUUUUCUGUUUUGUUUUGUUUUUUGUUUUUCCUACCUUAAACAAAUUGGCCGUGUGCCCAGAGCUCCGAGUACAGCUGCAUUUUUUGAAUUAAUUAAAUACUCUCACACUUUCACAGUUUCUCCCGGUAAUUGCGAUGGAUCUGGAAAAGCGCAUCACUGGAGGAAUGUGUUGUGUAAUCCAGCUAGAUGUAGGUGGUCUCGAAACCACUUAUCGAAUCUGUGUACUCAGCAAAGGUGAUCAGUGCAAGGAAAAAUGCCAUUUUGACAAAAGUUAAGUCCUCUAAGCUCCCCUGAGCCUCCCGAGAAAUCAGCCUUUCUGUGGUGUCGGGAAGGUUGCAGCGCCUACCACACCUCCUAUUGUCUGGCCAGGCAAGGGAUCCCCUCUUGAGCUAAUUACAUCCAGUGGAUGCCUUUUCCCUAAGCUUUGUUGACUUUUGUAGGCUCACUACCUGGGCUUUGGGGGUGAUGGGAGAUUUCAGAGAAGAAAAUCCCCAUUUCCCAUCUCUGACAUGAACAAAUUGAUGACUCAACGGCUCCCAGACCUCGGGCACCCUUGGAUGCCUAUUUGCCUUGCCGUGUAUGGCCCCGUCCAGGGCUGCCUCUCCAUGCUCCCUGGGAUGGCUUCCUUUCUUUCAUAUGAUCCCUUGGGAUUUUUCCUUUUCUUUUUUUCAAAUUCGGUUGGGUCUCUCAGGAACCAGCCAUGUCCUGUUGGAAGGAAGCUUCUCGACAAAAUGAUUUGCCAAGAAAGUCAUUAUCCCGAGAGCCCUGGCCAUGUUUCUGCUUAGACAUUCUACCUUGCUGCUCAAGUUAUUCUCCCUCUGGCUGUUGCUCCCCCCCCCCUUACCCUCCCCCUCCUUAUUUUUUAUGAAAUAGUUUUCUCUGAGCAAAAUAGUUUUGAUUUUUAGAAAAGGUUAUGAUGUUUAGAUAUGAAUCAAAUAGAGCCUCCCAAACUAGGGCAACAUCACAAGUUCAUUCUCUGGAUCUUUGUAAAGAGGCUAGAGAACAACCAGAAAGCCAGGAUCUGGGGACCCAAGUAUUGGGCUACUAAAUAGUAACAACUGAGUACCCUCACUUAAAUGACUCAGGAACAAGAGUUUUGGAGGAGUCAAGAAGCCCGAGUUCAAAUCUGCCUCAGACACUGAGCUGGGUAAGUCUGGACAAAUCACUUUGUUUCUGUGUUCUGUAAAAUGGGGAUAUUAAUAACCUCUGCUUCAUGGGUUUGGUGGAAGAGUUAUAUUAGAUCAUCUGUAUAAGGGGCUUUACUGGCCUUCAAAGUGAUAGUUAAUGGCUUCCAAUGCUCUAGAAAUGUACAUUCUCAUCCCUUUGCAAGCUCUGGGGUGCUUCCAGCUCAUCACUUGCUUGAGGGAGGGAAGGGACAAAUGCAGCAGCAACUGCUGCAGAGGCAGAUACCAAGUCCCAACUCCACCAGAGCAGUUCCUGAUGGCUUAGAGGCCAGGCUGGAAGGAUGGUCAGCAAUCUUGAGUGAAGGGGGACAGAACUGCUAUCCCCAGAGCUCUUGGAUUCACUUGUCCAUUGGUGGUAAUUGGUAUUGGUUGGGUUGGGAAUGGAGGCCCCUCCUUUUCCCACAGGACUUCCUCCUUUAAUGAUGUCUGGGGAGGGCUAUUAGAAACCAGGCUGAAGGUUUAGGGGUCCCUGCUCUCCUAAGGUCUCUGGGGUUCUGGGUUCUAGGCUAUCUUUACCACAUCUGUGCUUUAACGAGUAGCCCAACUUUGUGUUUACUGCUCUUUGCAAGACCCUGACAUCGGCCAUGUGGGGAUCCACAUUUUUUACAAUUCAAAACUGAAGGCCAGAGAGGAGGACUGACUUGAUCUGGGUCAUAGAGCCAAGAAGUGUCAGUGGCAGGACUGGAAUUCAUUUCUUGAUUCCAAAGUCAGUUCUUUCUCAAUGACACCAAACUACCAGUCUCUCAUGCUAUGCAGAUAAUGGCAAUAAGCAUCAUGAUGUAUUGAGGCAAACAGCCUUUGUGUUCUCCAAAGAUCCAUCUUAAGGUGAAGGAGAUCCGACUUUGGAAGGAAAUGCCAGCAAAACAUGAGCUUUGGCAAGUCCUACAUACCCAGAAAGAUUUCAAAUAUACCAUUCAAGGCUCAGCUUGGAGACGUUUGGAGAGGAACAUCUAAAGAAAGUUGGCCCUGUCCAGGGUGGUCAUUUUUGUCAGCCACAGCAGCACAGGAAGCUAGCUUUCAUUGUUUCUAGCCAUCUCUGUCUCAGGCCGGCUGGAUUUCACUGUGUGCCUCUCUCUCUCUCUGUCUCUCUCUGUCUCUCUCUGUCUCUCUCUGUCUCUCUCUGUCUCUCUGUCUCUCUGUCUCUCUUUCUUUCUCUCUCUCUCUCUCUCUCUCUCUCUCUCUCUCUCUCUCUCUCUCUCUCUUAAUUAACAAGAAUUUUUCCUCUUCCCUUUCUCCUCCUUCCUCUCUCACACUGUACAUAUCUGUCUGACUCUCCCAGAUAACUGGGCAAAAGUCCUUCGAUCUGUACCUUCCAUUUCUGUUAGUGGUUCUGCCUAUGGGGAGUUUCCCUGGACAAUGUCCCAUGUUCUGGGUCUGUUACCCACAUUCAGUUCCUACUUCUCCCUCUGCUGAUAAUAAUAGCAACAACAAACUACAUUUAUAUGGGCUUACUUUACAUUUAUUCUCGUAUUUGAUGCAUGACAAUCCUAGGAAGCAGACGCUAUAUGCUAUUUUGAUUCCCAUUUUGCAGAAAAGUAAACUUACCCAGGGUCACAGAGCUAGGACUUGGCAGAGGCUGGAUUUGAACUGAGGAUCUGUAGAGAAUGGCUUCAGGUCAGUGGUACCAAACUCAAACAGAAGUCCCAGUCUUUUGACUUAUAAGCCACAUAUUCACACGAUCUCUGGUGUAUUGAAUUUUUGGUGAUUUGUCCAUCGUUUCCCAAGUCCAUUGUCAUCUGUUUUGGGUCGAAGCCCUUGGGAGUUUUGCCACAAGGUCUAUAGCUACCAGUUGGCCAGAACUGCUGUAGAUGCCGCCACACAUUGUGCUGCCCAGCUGCCCAGUUUAGGCUUCAGUUUCUUAUUGAUGGGGAAAGAGGAACAAAGGUUGCUCUCUAACUUUGCUCACUUUUCAUGUUUCAUGUGCAUGUAUCAUUUGCUCAGAAAGCUGCCCAUUCUCACCAGGACAUUGCCUGUCCAAAGGGGAUCACUUCUCUUCUGAAUCCCUACUUUAAAAAAAUGGGUCCAUGGACAGGACCCAGAGAGUUAGAGCCAAGGAGCCAUGACUGCACUUAGCUUCCUCUUUUCCUCAACACUUAACAAUCACAAUGUACCUGAUUGACCUUGGGAAGCUCACUUGUGCCCUGGAGCUUCAGUAAAGACUUUUAUGGCCCUGUCCAGCUUUAUGUGCUGAAUACCCUAUAAUCAUGAGGGAGUCCUUUAUCUGCCCUUGGGUUCACUUUUUUCAUCUGAAGAAUGAGAGGGUUGGAUUCUAUGGUCUCUGAGAUCUUCCCAUAAUCCUUUGAGCUUUACCUCUAUAAAUUUGAAUUUUAUAACCUAUAAAAAGGGGCAAGAAGUCCAAGCUUUCUGACCUCAGAGAAUUGUGGUGAGGAGAAAUGAAAAAUCCAUCUCCCAGCCUUUAUUUAGCACCUGCUGUGUAUCAGGAUCUAUGCUAAGUACUGAAGGUAUUAAAGCAAAAAUGAAAUCACCACUGCCUUCAAAGAGCUGACAUUCUCCUGGAGAAAACAACAUGUGCACAAGCAAAUGAGACUUUCAUGUCCACAUCACUAACCUAUGCAGGCAGCACCCCUGGGGCUGACUACAAGGACUGCUUCUAGAAGAUAUUCUGUGGACUCUCACCAAAUGGGAGGAUCUUCUUUCUGCUGGAUUUCCAUUGCAAUGUCUUUCCAUCUACCUGACUGAGGCAAAAUUUCUCUCUUUUUUUCAGUGGUAUCCAAGGAUGAAGCUCAUAUUCACUCAUAGCAGGGACAAUAUGUGGUAUGUUGGAAGGGCCCUUUGACCCUGUGGCAUCAAGAAAUGGGCUUCAAGUUUGGCUCUAUUUCCUUUGUUCUUUUCAGUCCUGGGUGCAGGAGAUGGAGUCCUGAACUUCAGAGUCUGGCCCAUGAGAACCCACUAAACUGUCAAGGAAGCCUCGAGAAGCCAGAGUUCAAGUCAAGGAGGGAAGACACUUUGGGCUUGAUGGAACCACACAGUCAAAAGAAUUGAGCUUAGUGUUCUCUUGUUCAGUGAACAAAGUGGUAAGGCUGAGUUCUAGCCCCAAGGUGUUGGAGGGAAGAGUUGGUGUGCCUUUUUCUUUCUCUACCUUUGAAGUUAACGUGUGUUUGUAAAAAUUAAUCCACUGUUAAAUGGGUGAAUGGGGUGGAGGUGCCCCAACCCCUAAAAUUGAGGGGGAGCAUGAGCAGUAGGGACUGGAGCCAAUGGCAGAUGCUACAGAUCCCCAGGUUCCCCUAAUGGUUCCCGAGAACCCUGGGAGAUGGAUGAAAUGUAACAUGCCUGGCCUUCAGGGGAGAGGGGUCAAAGGAAUCAAAACAAUACCACGUGAUAUGGAGUGACUGCACGAAGAAGAGGACCAACAACUAUCAAGUCUGGAGGCUUAGCCUCUGAGCCCUGAAGGAGUCAGGGAGGCUCCUCAAGAAAGAAGGGAAUGUUGGAGAAGUGUUUUGUAAACUGUAAAGUACUUUUGUAAAUGCCCAUUGCUGAAGGGAUGGGAAGCUGAUCACUGCCCUCCUUUCCCUUCCUCUACUUUCUCUUGACCUUCCUAGCCCCUUCCCUCUUUUCUUCACUUCUUGACCAUUCUCAUCUGUUCCCUCCUCUCACCCCCUGGCACAUACCUUCCCCUCAUUCCAUACAUAUAGCACCAAGCUAAGGCACACUGACUGUCCACACUGCCUGCCCACUCUCCCCUAGUCUCCAGCCUCUCUCAGCUUUGUAGCUGAUCUACACAGUCCUAGUAACUCACUUCCAUUCCUUCCUACUUUGGCAUCUCCAAGACUGGAAUCAUCUGAGAGCUUCCCACUUCUGGGUCUCUGCCUCCCAGUCUUGGAUUUCUCAUGUCACCUCAAGAGUCAAGACCAUAGCACAAGAAGGCCCUUGGCACACAUACAUGCAUUCAUGGGUAGGUAGGUGUUUUUACGUGUGAGCACAUGUGGGGAAUAGAGCAUGGAUAUAUAUAUGGAUCUUUGUGUGAGUGUGUGUGCAGAGGGUGUAUAUUUAUUCACACUCACACACAUGCACAGAUUUGGUUCCAGAAUUGUGAUUUCUUCAAAGUAAGUCCUAGUGUGGAAAGUCUUUCCAUAAAUACAGAUCAGCAACAUGCCUAUGAUUCCUAGUCUUAGAGCACUGACCAGGAGCACGGAAGGGUAAUCAGUCAACAACUGAAUGAACAAGCAUUUAUUAAACCCUGAUAGUGUUCUGUAUCCCCAGCUAGGUACUGGGGAGCCAAGGGACAAGAGUGAAAUCUCUGCCCUCACGAAGUUGUGUGCAAUAGAAGACAACAACACACGAAUACAAGAUUCCUUCCUGUGACUAACAAACCCCUUUGGGGAUCCUACAUACUGAUGUUUUAUGUCUGCUGGGAGUUCAUGGGAAACAAUGUGGAGAAGACCUGCCUCAGUGCCACGAAUAAGCCCCAUUUCUGCUACCUACUAGCUAUGUGAUCCUGGAAAAGUCAUAUGAGGAAAUUGAGGCAAACAAAGGUAAAAGGACUUGCUCAUGGUCUCCAGCUGGUAAUAGUGGACAAGAGGACAUAGACAAGACUGGUGAGAUGGACAUGGAAACUCAUCUUUGCGGCUUCCUUGUGAUGUAACCUUGGGUAAGUCAAUGAAUCACACAGUCAGAGUAUUGGAAGGGACUUUGGCCAUCAUUUGGUAUAACUUUCUGGAUUUGAACUGAGUUCUUCCUGACUCCAGGCCCAGUGCUCUAUGCACUAAGGGGCUCCUACUUGCCCACAAUUCUGAGUCUUUACAAUUCUCCACCCUUCCAAGGCAGGAAAUGGGAGAACCCCUUUAUACUAUCCUGAAGAGAUGAGACAAGGAAGAGAUUGUGGAGUAGGAAAGUUUAUGAUACUGAUUUUCUAAACUUCCCAUGAAGCAUUGCACCUUUUCGAGAGCAGUCUCUCCUAACCAAAGGAUCAAGUAUUUAUGAAUACAAUUUGUAGUCAAUUUUCUGCAAAUUAGACCAGCCCAGAAACAUAGCAUCAGCGAGAGAAUCUUCUUUCACCACACAUUUGGCCAUUAGAGAUCAUUUUUCUGGAAAAUUCUUCCCCAGAAAUCCUUGUCAGCACUCAUCCUUGAUCAAAGAGUUUAUUCCCUUGGGGAAUCCUGUGGUCCAGUCACAGGGUCUCCCAAGGGAUGGCUCCAAUAUAAAUUCUUCUGUUGGACCUUAAAGCCCUCUACAGCCUGACCACCACCUACCUUCCUAGCCUUGUUACAAUGACUUCGAUUGUGUGCUUUCUACAGUCCUGCCAAAUUGGUCCUUGCUAUUCUUCAUGCAUGCCUUUGGGCUGGCUGUCCCCUAUCCCUUUGAUGCUUUCCAUUCCAGUCUUGGCCUCUUGGAAUCCCUCAAGACUCAGCUCAGGCAGUGCCUUGGAGGAGGCUUUUCCUGAUCCCCUAACUUUUAGCACCUUCCCCUCCAUGGUUACCUUCAAUCUGUUUUGUGUGUGUGUGUGUGUGUGUGUUUUAUGUACCUAUCCAUGUACAUGUCACCUCUGCCAUUUGAAUGCAAACUCCUCAAGAGCAAGACUGGUUUGUACUUCUGUCUGUGUGCCCCAUGUGCCUGGCAAAGUUCUUGGCACACACUUGAUGUCUCAUAAAUGCUUCCAGACUCAUGGCUAGAAGGACAACUGCCAUCGUCCUUGAAUCACAUCCCUUCUGUCCUGUAGUGGGUCUUUCUAGAGGCCCAGCAUCAGGGCCCUGGUAGCAAGUCCCUCUUUAUCAGCUCCCUAUUGGUAGAUUUAUUAAGCGCCAUCUCUGCACCAUGCUGAGCCCUGGAGGAGACAGAAGAACCAAGGAGACAUAGUUCCUGUUCUCAAAGAGCUCCAGUCCACUCACAGCAAUAUGAUGGGAAUAUCAAAAACUGGCCAAGAAAGUCAGUGUCCAACUCUUCCUCAUAGAUCGAAGCUUCUUGCUUGGGUUCUUGAGGAUGGUGCUAGUGUGGUGUGAGCCAUGAUAGGUUGUAUUGAGUGUGAAACCUUUGAUUCAGGAGCUCAACAAUGAUAAUAAUCAUCAGCAUUGACAUAGAACCUUGAGGUUUGCAAGGUCCUUUACAAGGAUUAACAGCAGGUGCUACUAUUAUCCCAAUUCCCAGGUAAGGAAAGGUAGAGAGUGGUUGAAGAACUUUCCCAGUGUCAUGUGGCUAGUAGCUAUCUGGAGCCAGAUUUAAACUCAAGUCUUUUCUGAGGCUCUACCCACUGCACCAUCUAGCUGAGAAAUCUCCCAUCUGAAAACAAUUCUGGCUAUGAUCCUAAAGGUCCAUCACCAGAAGGCUAGCUAUGAUGAGAUGAAGAUAAAGACUAUCUACAAAGGCUUGUAAAAGUGCUCUCUACAUCCCUGGGGCAAGGCAGUCACAGAUUUUUAAAAACCCUGUAUAUUGUUUCUAAGGCACAAGAGUGGUAAGGGCUGGGGAAUGGGGGUUUAGGAUCCCAUCUAGGAAGUAUCUCAGUCCAGAUUUGAACCCAGGAUCUCCCAUCUCUAGGCCUGGUUCUCAGUCCACUGAGCCACCUCAUUGCCCCCAGAAUUCAUAGAUAUAUUAUAGUAGAUAUUGAAGGAAGUGGGAAAACCCUACACUUGGAAUCACCCCAAAACUAGCUUCAGAUUUCAUCUCACACACAUGCUAGUUGGUUGAUGUGGGCAUUAGUCACUUUGCUCAUUUGAAAAAAGAAAACAAGAUACAAUUCCUGUGGCCCAUUCCACUGGGUUAUCCUAAGGAUCAGCUGAGAUUGUGAACAUCAACUAUUUCAAAAACUCUUUACAUGCCAGGUAUUAACAAUGGUUGAGGAUGGCACUCAUGAGUCUGGCCAGCUGAAUGAGAUUAAAUGGAUGAGGCCAUUGCUGAACUUGGAUGAUCUGAGAAGAGUUUGGAUUGUCCCUCUUCUCUGAACAUUACUAGGGAGGGGUUCAGGCUAAGCACUGAUAUGAUUGGAUUGUGGAAAGAACCAUCCCUCUUUGAACUGGGCCUGGAAGAGGGCCUAACCAGCCCUGCCGGCAUCAGGCUGCAAGAGAGCUAAGUAGACACCAGACCAUGAGCUCAAGGCUGGAAGGAGCCUUUGGAACCCCUCAUUUUACAAAUGAAUUCUGUAAUUUGUUUAGAGUUGCAUAGCUGGAAACAACAGAGGUAGGACUUGAACUCUGAUCUUCUUUAUUUCAAGUCCAACAGAGCAGACUCAGGUGCAGUUGUUGCUUUCUGAGGAAAUGAAUCCUUCUGUGUGUUCCUCAAAAUGACAGCCAUAACAACAUAAUCUAUGGAGGAACUCACCCAAGAGAGAAGAGAGCAGGGCCCUUGGCGAGGGAUGUUUCAGGGCAUGCUAGAUGUGGCCAUCAGAGCAGGUUCCAGUAUUCAAAGGCCCCAGCCACUGAGGCAAAUUGUAGACUGAAACAGAAGAAAAGGGAUGGUUUGAAAGCCUAAAAAGUCAGAACUGGGCUAGGAGGGGGGAGAAUUAUAUGCCCAAUGGUGAGCUUUCUUGAACCUAAGCCUGGGGAAGUAGUGAGGAUCCUGAUCCAUGAAGUGAAGAAGCAGAACCUGACCUCUGCCUCUCUUUACUGUUGUGAGUUUUCUGGACUGUGUAGGUCCAAGGGGAAGGUGGUUGGUUGUCUCUAGAGAUUGAAGAACCCCGAGGACCAAAAAUGGCCCCAGGACUAAAUCAGCUCCAAAGGGAAGAGUUCAGCAUCAUUUAGGUUCAUCUCAGGUGGAGCACGGACUGAGAGACUUUCCCUUCAAGCCAUCUUCACCUGAGUGAAAUGUCUCUGGAGAGAAGGUGCCUGACCUGACCUGCCAGGACAAUCUCUCCUCCCUUAGCAGACAGUCAUUUGUGUUCUUUACUUAGCAAAGGCAUGCUACAUCUGAGUGACUUACCACCCCAACAGGUUUUCUUUAAGAAUCCGCCAUCUUGGUGUGGGGGUGUGUAGAUUAGUCAUUUUGAAGUAGGGGGUGGGAGGGUUGUCCCAUAUAAACAAGGCCACAAUAACAUUUGAAUUCACUCUUAAUAGACUCUGUGACAUUUGUCUGUGACAUCAAACAACAAUUCUUCCAUUUUUAUUUGAGCCCAUUUUAGAAUUCAGCCAGAGCUUCUCUGAGAAGUCAAUCUGGCCUUUGCUAGAUUCCACUCUUCCACCAGAUGGUGUCCCUCCAGCCUCUCAGCUGAGCUCUUUUCUGGCUGAAACACCACUGGCAUACUCAUUGGCUGGUUGGUUUGAUUUAACUACUGUAAAUAUAAGCAUAGUUCCAGACUAGGCUCUACUGAAAAGUUUGGGACUGGGACAGAAAUGCCCAUUUCCCCUAUUCCUUAAGUAUCUGGAAAAUAAAGAACUGUUUUUUUUUCAAGAACAUCUUUUGUUAUCCCAUGAUAUGAUUAGAAAUUCGGGGGAGGGGGGGAGAGGGAGAUCUUCAAACAAAGGAUGCCCAACUAAAUUAAGAAGCUGUAUUCAUGUGUGCACUGAGGCUUAACUGUCAGCAGGUGAUGUCCGAAUGACAUCUUUUCACCCAAAGCAUCUUAACCUUUGACGUUCAGACUGAGAUGAAAAGGACAAGACUGCACGUGUGGGCCGUACUUUUGAAAAAGAUGAGCUGGAAAGCAGAGAGCCCUAAGGAUGUUGGCAAAAUCAAAGGAAAUAUGAGGUUCUCUGUUUGAAAAAAAAAGCUAGCCGAUCUCAAGAAAGCUAGGAGGCAUGAGUGAAAAGAAUUUUACAGAGCUGUACUUUUCUCUCUACUUUGGGCUGCUGAGGUUUGUAACUCAACUUUAAGAAAUUUUAGGCAAGGAAAGGAGGAAGAAGCAUCCUGUGGAUAAAGGGUGAGCCUUAGAGUAAGGAAGAUAUGGGUUCAUGGUCUGCCUUUGACAAUGUGACCUUGGAUAAGUUAUUUAACCUUUUGGCAUUCUCCCGGAGUCAUGAAGACCCAAGUUCAAAUUCACACUCAGACACUUAGCUAUGUGACCCUGGGAAAGCCACUUAAGCUCUCUAUACUCCCAGUAACUUUCUAAGACUGUAGUUCUAUAGUUGGAUGAAUCUGUGGGGCCAUUAAUAGAGCUGUCUCUAAUAAUAAUUCAUACCUUUACAUCCUGAAUGAUUCUAGUUAUUCAUUCAUUCCUUCAUUCUACAAGCAUUAUUCAGUAUCUACUAAAAGCUGGAAACCUUCUUGUCCAGGUUGUUCCAUAAAUCUUCCAUCCAGAAUUUGCCUUUCUUCCUCUUGACUUCCUAAUAUUUCACAGAUCCCAAGAGGAGCCUUGAAAUUUCCCAGCUAUUCUCUCUCCCCCUCCCAACAUUACUGGCUCACUAUAUAUCCUCCCUGAAGUCUUUUAGAUCAAUUGUCCUGAAGUAAUAAAUGGUAUAAGGGAAAUGGAAAAAAUUGGGACACUAAUGCAUGGCUGUUGAAGUUGUGAAUUGAUCUAACCCUUCUGGAAGGCAAUUUGGAACUAUGCCCAAAGGGCGAUAAAAGACUGUCUGCCCUUUGAUCCAGCCAUAGCACUACUGGGUUUGUACCCCAAAGAGAUCAGAAGGAAAAAGACUUGUACAAGAAUAUUCAUAGCCAUGCUCUUUGUAGUGGCAAAAAACUGGAAAAAGGGGGGUGUCCAUCGAUUGGGGAAAGACUGAACAAAUUGUGAUCUCUGAUAGGGAUGGAAUACUAUUGUGCUGACAGGAAUAAUGAACUGGAGGGAUUCCAUGUGAAUUGGAAAGAUCUCCAGGAAUUGAUGCAGAGCAAAAGGAGCAGAACCAGGAGAACACUGUACACAGAGACUGAUACAUUUUAGCAUAAUUGAAUGUUUGCUAAACUUUGUUUGCUGACUCUGCUACUAGGGAUGUAGGAGAAAGAAUGUAUCCACAUCCAAAGAAAGAAUUGUGGGAGCAGAAACACAGAAGAAAAACAGAUGAUCAAUCACGUGGUUUGAUGGGGAUAUGAUUAGGGAUGUAUACUCUAAAUGAUCACUCCAUUGCAAUAUUAAUAACAUGGAAAUAGGUCUUGAUCAGUGGUACAUGUAAAACUCAGGGGAAUUGCUUGUUGGCUAUGG
This is a non-coding RNA of Monodelphis domestica (gray short-tailed opossum), 14353 nucleotides long. The record is from RefSeq and is a predicted model, not a curated record. Lineage: Eukaryota; Metazoa; Chordata; Mammalia; Didelphimorphia; Didelphidae.